AACGCACCUUGCGCUCCUUGGUAUUCCAUGGAGCAUGCCUGUUUGAGUGUCACGUAAACCCUCGCCCUUUGUGAUGUCAAAGUCGCACCGCGGUGGAUUUGGACCGUGCCGUAAUCGGCUCGUCCUGAAAUGCAUUAGCUUGUGCUCGUUAGAGUGCUCGGCAUGGUGUGAUAAUUAUCUGCGCCGUCGCCUUAGGCCUCUUCUGUGUGCGCUGCUUCCAAUCGUCCCUCGCGGACAACGUUUUAAAGCUUUGGCCUCAAAUCAGGUAGGACUACCCGCUGAACUUAA
This 288-nucleotide unclassified non-coding RNA is filed under the name uncultured fungus. RNAcentral's name for it is "partial contains 5.8S ribosomal RNA, internal transcribed spacer 2, and large subunit ribosomal RNA". The stretch from base 1 to 52 matches the Rfam family "5.8S ribosomal RNA", at positions 103 to 154 of the family's 154-position model. Lineage: Eukaryota; Fungi. The record is from RNAcentral.